Molecule: unclassified non-coding RNA, 310 nt
Filed under: uncultured Ascomycota
Lineage: Eukaryota; Fungi; Ascomycota
Description: sequence contains ITS1
Rfam family: 5.8S ribosomal RNA (bases 1-105)
Source: RNAcentral
GAAAUGCGAUAAGUAAUGUGAAUUGCAGAAUUCAGUGAAUCAUCGAAUCUUUGAACGCACAUUGCGCCCUUUGGUAUUCCGAAGGGCAUGCCUGUCCGAGCGUCAUUAUCAACCCUCAAGCCCGGCUUGUCGUUGGGUCUCGCCGCUCUCCUCGGAGGCGGCGGGCUCGAAAGAUAGUGGCGGAGCCGUGUGGACCCCGGAUGCAGCGAGCCUUUUUGAGCACGCAUCUCGCUGGUCCCUCGGCGCCCUCUCAACCGUAACCUUCUCAAUGGUUGACCUCGGAUCAGGUAGGGAAACCCGCUGAACUUAA